This is a long non-coding RNA of Alosa alosa (allis shad), 102 nucleotides long. RefSeq lists it as uncharacterized. The record is from RefSeq and is a predicted model, not a curated record. Lineage: Eukaryota; Metazoa; Chordata; Actinopteri; Clupeiformes; Clupeidae. The transcript has 3 exons.
CCCCCAGGUACAGUACCUAUAAACAGUGUUUAUCCCCCCAGGUAUUUCUAUUUACCUAUAAACAGUGUUUAUCCCCCCAGGUAUUUACCUAUAAACAGUGUU